This 460-nucleotide ribosomal RNA is filed under the name uncultured bacterium. RNAcentral's name for it is "partial 16S ribosomal RNA". It matches the Rfam family "Bacterial small subunit ribosomal RNA", at positions 338 to 795 of the family's 1533-position model. The record is from RNAcentral.
CCUACGGGUGGCAGCAGUGAGGAAUAUUGGUCAAUGGCCGGAAGCCUGAACCAGCCAAGCCGCGUGAAUGACGAAGGUUCUAGGCAUUGUAAACUUCUUUUAUAAAGGAAUAAAAUGAGGCUCGUUUGCCUUUUUGCAUGUACUUUAUGAAUAAGGAUCGGCUAACUCCGUGCCAGCAGCCGCGGUAAUACGGCGGAUCCGAGCGUUAUCCGGAUUUAUUGGGUUUAAAGGGAGCGUAGAUGGGUUGUUAAGUCAGUUGUGAAAGUUUGCGGCUCAACCGUAAAAUUGCAAUUGAUACUGGCAGUCUAGAGUACAGGUGAGGUAGGCGGAAUUCGUGGUGUAGCGGUGAAAUGCUUAGAUAUCACGAAGAACUCCGAUUGCGAAGGCAGCUUACUAAACUGCAACUGACAUUGAUGCUCGAAAGUGUGGGUAUCAAACAGGAUUAGAUACCCGAGUAGUC